AGCUCUUUCAGAUGUAAAAGCACAUAUUGCAUAGGAAAUUAUUAUCUUCGAAGCAUACUCACAUUUCACUAACAAAUAGGGGGAGGUUCAGACUUCAGAGCAAUGAUAACAAGGGUGGUGAGGGAUAGAACUGGUCAUGUUGAAAGUCAGUUUAGUGCAUCAAGGAUGGGAGGUUAAGAGAUUUGCAAGAGGUGAUGGAGGAUGGUUAGUUAUUGUGGCUCAUUAUAUAGUAGUGAAAGAUGAGUACAAGCAUAAGCUUAUUCAAAAUUGCAGUUCUUGAUUCAUGGGUAUAUUUUGUAAUCUUUUUCAUUUCUUCUAAGAGGAUCAAAUAUGUAUUUUGUUCUUCCCAAUGUUCUGAAGGACGGUUUGCAUUGAUAUAGUAUAACAUA
Non-coding RNA from Aegilops tauschii subsp. strangulata, 389 nucleotides. The record is from RefSeq and is a predicted model, not a curated record. NCBI's taxonomy places the organism in Eukaryota, Viridiplantae, Streptophyta, Magnoliopsida, Poales, Poaceae.